UACGUAGGGUGCAAGCGUUGUCCGGAAUUAUUGGGCGUAAAGAGCUCGUAGGCGGUCUGUCGCGUCGAAUGUGAAAACCCGGGGCUCAACCCCGGGCCUGCAGUCGAUACGGGCAGACUAGAGUGUGGUAGGGGAGACUGGAAUUCCUGGUGUAGCGGUGAAAUGCGCAGAUAUCAGGAGGAACACCGGUGGCGAAGGCGGAUCUCUGGGCCAUUACUGACGCUGAGGAGCGAAAGCGUGGGGAGCGAACAGG
Molecule: ribosomal RNA, 253 nt
Filed under: uncultured bacterium
Lineage: Bacteria
Description: partial 16S ribosomal RNA
Rfam family: Bacterial small subunit ribosomal RNA
Source: RNAcentral